AAGUAACAUCAUGUUGCCUUUUAGGAAGAUAAAACUGGAAUAAUUUACACAGUAGCCUAAUGGAGCAGGAAGAGAGAGUAUGGGAAAUCAGUGAGGCGGUUGUCAUGCGACCCUGAGCCAAAGAUUCUUUACUCUUUGCCUUACCAGAAGAAUUUCCUUUUCCCUCAGUCCUGAAGACCCUUUCUUGUUUAUUUUCCCUGUAUCUAAACUAUAAGCUUAGGCUCAAGGGUGAUCAGAAGUUCUCUUUUGUUCAGUGAUUUGAAACACUCCUUAUUAAGACCAGGGGGAUUUCUCAUCAAAAGAUUUUAUUCCUCAUCUAGCUUGGUUCCUUUAAAAGAACUAGAUCUUAUCCUAUCAUAUAUUUAUUACACAUAGUUAGAAAAUUUAAUACCAAUUCACAACACCAGGAAGCAUUUAGUCCAAGACAACUAAGUGACAAACAUUACUGCUCCCAUUUGCUCGAUAAAGUUAACGAUAAGCAUCACUCAAGUCAAAGUUUUUCUUUCAUUGAAUAAAUGCAGAAUAAAAUUAUCCCUUCUGAUAAUGAGACUUUGUUUCUUGUUCUCCUUUUUAUUGAAGAAUCAAUUUUUUUCAACUAUACAUGAUCCUCAAGGCUAAAUUUAGAGUAAAUCUAUGACUUUAUAAUUAUAGCUAACACUUACAAAGCACUCACUAUGUGCCUGUAGUGUUCUAAGCACUAUAUGUAACUUUACCUGACAGUUUUGGGGAAAAAAAAAAAAGAUUCUUACAUAUGAGGUUCACAGAAGAGGAAAGAAGGAGUUCCUAGCACUUAAAAUAGGAAGCAUGGAGACUUCUCUUCUUAAUGGCAGAACUUAUUCAGUUUCUCCUUGCUCCUGUACUUCCAGAACAAUGGUGCUAUUCAAGAAGAGACGGCAAAAAUCCAAGUUGCCACUUGACUUUUGAUUUAACAAAGGUUAUAUGGAAGUUGUCCUGAGCUGUUAAGUUACAUAGUUUAUCGUAUCAUCUAAUGUUUUGAAAAGGAUGCUUUAUUAUUGGUUAAACAAAUCUAAAGUUGCAAGAUAAAACAUCUUAAUAUACCUACAAAAGCUAUAUUCAAACAUUCCCAUGAGGUACACUACUACAGGAAAAAAAGAAAAAGAAAAGCUCUAUUGCACUGCACUUGAGUUUCCUUCCAUUUUGUUUUAAACACAUUAGUUGAUUAAUA
RNAcentral lists this long non-coding RNA (1186 nucleotides) under Capra hircus (goat). Its description in RNAcentral is "lncRNA (ENSCHIG00010001373.1)". Lineage: Eukaryota; Metazoa; Chordata; Mammalia; Artiodactyla; Bovidae. The record is from RNAcentral.